UAGGGAAUCUUCGGCAAUGGACGGAAAGUCUGACCGAGCAACGCCGCGUGAGUGAAGAAGGUUUUCGAAUCGUAAAACUCUGUUGGUAGAGAAGAACGUUGGUGAGAGUGGAAAGCUCAUCAAGUGACGGUAACUACCCAGAAAGGGACGGCUAACUACGUGCCAC
This 166-nucleotide ribosomal RNA is filed under the name uncultured bacterium. RNAcentral describes it as "partial 16S rRNA". It matches the Rfam family "Bacterial small subunit ribosomal RNA", at positions 355 to 511 of the family's 1533-position model. The record is from RNAcentral.